UAUGUAGGGGGCAAGCGUUGUCCGGAAUCAUUGGGCGUAAAGCGCGUGUAGGCGGCCAGAAAAGUCCGCUGUGAAAACUCGAGGCUCAACUUCGAGCUGUCGGUGGAAACUUUCUGGCUAGAGUCCGGAAGAGGAGAAUGGAAUUCACGGUGUAGCAGUGAAAUGCGUAGAUAUCGUGAGGAACACCAGAGGCGAAGGCGGCUACCUGGACAAUUGCUGACGCUCAGGCACGAAAGCGUGGGGAGCAAAAGGG
This 253-nucleotide ribosomal RNA is filed under the name uncultured bacterium. RNAcentral describes it as "partial 16S ribosomal RNA". It matches the Rfam family "Bacterial small subunit ribosomal RNA", at positions 524 to 776 of the family's 1533-position model. The record is from RNAcentral.